AUGAGUCAGGUAAUGCACACAAAGCAGAAUCCCAGGAAACUCAUCUCACACAUGAAGAUUCAGGCCUUGAAUCCACUCAGAGUCCAUGCGAUGCCGUGGGAAUCAAGCCAGGAACAAUCUCUACAAGGUGACUAUUUUAAAUGCAAUGAAGAAGCUAAGACCUUUCUUAAAGACAUUGCUCUUGCUGUUAAAAAAUUGGAAGAAGUGAGAAAAACCACAAUCGAUUGUCUGGAAAUAGAAACGAUGGAACUCAGCAGAUUCUACUUCCUGCUGCAGACUCUGCCUGACAGGAUGAACAGGGAACUAGAAGAGAGUAUCAGAGAUGCUCGCAGGUUAAAUAUCUGUGAGAUAAACCAGAUGCAAACAAGAAUUAACAUGAGGGAUGAUGAAAUAACGUCUCUAAAGAAGACAAUAACCACCCUGAAAGAAGUGAAUGAAACUCUCGGUAUAAAGCAAGAAGAGUUGGCCCAGCGGCACGCAAAGUUCGUCCUGUCACUCAACCAAACGAUGGAAGAAAAAGCCAAGACCAUCAUUUACAUAAAUGAGACCUGUACCAGAAUAAACGCAGAGAGAGAAGAGACAGAGGUACAAAGAAAAUGUGUGCAAAAAGCGGAGGAGCUAAUGGCCAAAUACAUUGCGGAAUAUUUGGUAAAAAAACAGCAACUAAUCACUCAGAUUGAUGAACUUAAAAAAAUCUAUGAACUUACAAAAAAGGACACUUUUAAAAAGAAGGAAGAAUUGGAAAAAUUAAAAAGUAGAAUGUCAAAAAUGAAACAAACAGUUACCAUCAGCACAGUGGUUCUUAGUGAUCACAAUUUAGAGAUAGCACAACUACAAUCAUCAAUAAGGGAGUGGGAAGAAAAGGUGGAAGAAAUAACAGAAGCUUGUAAGAUUCUAGAAAAUAAAAUGAAUUUUUUUAUAACUCACAAGGAAAAACUGGAUGAUUCAUCACAAUAUGAAAAAAAUGAACACUUGCGUAAAAUAAAACAGCUGGCUGAAAAGCUGCACAAAGCUCAGUUAGAGAACAAAGAGCUACACGAGAAAUUGAACACUAUUCUACAACAGUAUAGGAUUGUGCUAACUGAGGAAGAUCAAGUUUUUUUGCAGAAACGGAAGAUCUAUGAUGAAAACCAGAGACAACUGGAGUUUAUUACACAAAAAGAAAACUUCCUAGCGCAAAGACAAAUAGACAUCAAAAAUAUGGAAGAAGGACUCAUUACACUUAAUGAUCUUCAAAAAGCAACAAAAGAUGUGUUUCAAAAACAAGUAAAAAUUCAGAGUGAUAACCUGGAAAGAGAAAAUCAGAGAUGCUCGUGAUGUGUUUUAGCUUGAUUUUUUGGCAUUGGACAAAGCCAAAGGUUUCCAUUGCAAUAGAACAGUCACCAGAGGCUAUAACUGCCCGUGUUCGUGCAGUGUCUGAGGCUCACCCAGGCUUCUGUGGAGACUGUGGGUGAGUGAGUCGGGUGACAGGGUGGAGACAAAACAGAAUGGUUAGCACCACAGUCUUUGCACAUGGGCUACGCUGGUUGCUCUGUCUGACAAGUUUGGUGACUGACGCUCAAUAACUACUUUUUCUUUGGUCCCACCCCUCUAAAGUAGGGAACAGUAAUAGCAGCCACCUUGCAAAGCUGUUGUCAACAUCAGAGAGAUGAUCUGUGUGAAGUCUGCAGAUAACGUACAC
Chinchilla lanigera (long-tailed chinchilla) is the source of this 1681-nucleotide long non-coding RNA. NCBI's taxonomy places the organism in Eukaryota, Metazoa, Chordata, Mammalia, Rodentia, Chinchillidae. The record is from Ensembl.